Non-coding RNA from Ictidomys tridecemlineatus (thirteen-lined ground squirrel), 71 nucleotides. The record is from Rfam. Lineage: Eukaryota; Metazoa; Chordata; Mammalia; Rodentia; Sciuridae.
GGGGGUAUAGCUCAGUGAUAGAAUACUUGUGUACUGGGCAUGAGGCCUGAGUUUGAUUCUCAGCACCACCA